Oncorhynchus tshawytscha (Chinook salmon) is the source of this 723-nucleotide long non-coding RNA. RefSeq lists it as uncharacterized. The transcript is spliced from 5 exons. The record is from RefSeq and is a predicted model, not a curated record. Lineage: Eukaryota; Metazoa; Chordata; Actinopteri; Salmoniformes; Salmonidae.
UGUGUGCACUUUUCUCACACUGCAAUGUUUUUUUGUGCCCCUAUGUGUUCAUCUGCCUAGAGGUGUGGCUCAGCUGUACCCAGCAUAUGGCUCUACCUCAAGGGAGGUGUGUGUGCGUGUAUUCUUAGUGUGUCACAUUGCUUUAUGGCCCGGAGAGGAGGUAGGUGUGUGUCCUCGCUUUCUGUUUCUGUGUGUGCUGACAGCAUGUGGCCCUGCCCCGACGUGUGGCCCACCUGUACCCAGCGUAUGGGCUCUACCUGUACGAAGAGAGCCAGUACACUCAGGACACCUGCAGAUUCAAACUGACUGGCACCCCUGUUCUCUUCCUACUUGGAAAUGCAGGCAGCUACAAACAAGGCAUGACCGUUAGUGAUGUCACUCUCAACUCCACUGGACUUCUGCACAUCAUUGAACUGCAGCACGUUCACCAGGUCUAUCAGGCGUUCAGAAUCUCAGUCGUAAGCCACUGCAAAAUAACCAAAGGAGUGUUCCCUCGGUAACAGAAAUAUCAGUCAUGCUCCAUACAAGUCAUCCUGACAACACCUCUGGUGUCCUGCUGCAGGUCCACACCGCUCCCAAUUGCCAGUAUAAGAUCUGACCCAUCACACGACUCUUCCAAGAGGACCUCUACACUCCAUAUGUCCUUCUGUGCACAGAAGUCCGUGAAGAGGUUUCUGCCCCAUCACGCCACUCUUAUUAAUCAAAUAAAGCAAUGUACCUUUA